CACGUAGGGGGCAAGCGUUGUCCGGAUUUAUUGGGCGUAAAGAGCUCGUAGGCGGCUUGUCGCGUCGACUGUGAAAUCCCGCGGCUCAACUGCGGGUCUGCAGUCGAUACGGGCAGGCUAGAGUUCGGUAGGGGAGACUGGAAUUCCUGGUGUAGCGGUGAAAUGCGCAGAUAUCAGGAGGAACACCGAUGGCGAAGGCAGGUCUCUGGGCCGAUACUGACGCUGAGGAGCGAAAGCGUGGGGAGCGAACAGG
Molecule: ribosomal RNA, 253 nt
Filed under: uncultured bacterium
Lineage: Bacteria
Description: partial 16S ribosomal RNA
Rfam family: Bacterial small subunit ribosomal RNA
Source: RNAcentral